AACUGGGUAGCUAGAGUAUGUCAGAGGGGGGUAGAAUUCCACGUGUAGCAGUGAAAUGCGUAGAGAUGUGGAGGAAUACCGACGGCGAAGNCAGCCCCCUGGGAUAAUACUGACGUUCAUGCUCGAAAGCGUGGGUAGCAAACAGGAUUAGAUACCCUGGUANUCCACGCCCUAAACGAUGUCGAUUAGCUGUUGGGCAACUUGAUUGCUUAGUAGCGUAGCUAACGCGUGAAAUCGACCGCCUGGGGAGUACGGCCGCAAGAUUAAAACUCAAAGGAAUUGACGGGGACCCGCACAAGCGGUGGAUGAUGUGGAUUAAUUCGAUGCAACGCGAAGAACCUUACCUGGUCCUGACAUGUACGGAAGAACUCAGAGACGAGUUUGUGCCUUCGGGAGCCGUAACACAGGUGCUGCAUGGCUGUCGUCAGCUCGUGUCGUGAGAUGUUGGGUUAAGUCCCGCAACGAGCGCAACCCUUGUCAUUAGUUGCCAUCAUUUAGUUGGGCACUCUAAUGAGACUGCCGGUGACAAACCGGAGGAAGGUGGGGAUGACGUCAAGUCCUCAUGGCCCUUAUGACCAGGGCUUCACACGUCAUACAAUGGUCGGUACAGAGGGUAGCCAAGCCGCGAGGUGGAGCCAAUCCCAGAAAACCGAUCGUAGUCCGGAUUGCACUCUGCAACUCGAGUGCAUGAAGUCGGAAUCGCUAGUAAUCGCAGGUCAGCAUACUGCGGUGAAUACGUUCCCGGGUCUUGUACACACCGCCCGUCACACCAUGGGAGUGGGGGAUACCAG
RNAcentral lists this ribosomal RNA (791 nucleotides) under uncultured bacterium. Its description in RNAcentral is "bacterial SSU rRNA". It matches the Rfam family "Bacterial small subunit ribosomal RNA", at positions 631 to 1423 of the family's 1533-position model. The record is from RNAcentral.